Molecule: long non-coding RNA, 345 nt
Organism: Pieris napi
Lineage: Eukaryota; Metazoa; Arthropoda; Insecta; Lepidoptera; Pieridae
Exons: 2
Source: RefSeq, a predicted model, not a curated record
UUUGCGGAAUAUUAUCCAUGGGCACGUGCUUGUUGGGUUUGACAUUCAGAAAGACCUGGAUGUUUUGGGAAUAACUUACCCGAAUGUAAAGGACGUAGCGACAUACGGUCCUUUCCUAAAAAAUUGCCAAAAACAGUCGCUUAAGACUUUAGCCUAUCAAGAGCUUCGUAUAAACAUACAAAACGGAUCUCAUGACUCAAUUGAAGAUGCGCGAGCCGUUAUGAAGAUCUAUAAGAAACAUCGAUUUUAAAUGUCUUACAAAACCCGAAUCUAACUUUUCAUUUUUAAGUACAAUUUAUAUUCUAUUUGGUAAAAUACUCAGAAAAUAAAUGUAUUUUUAAAUUA